GAGUCGGACCUGCCCGGUGACCUACGGGUUAAACGGCCGCGGUACACUGACCGUGCAAAGGUAGCACAAUCACUUGCCUUUUAAUUGGAGGCUGGUAUGAAUGGUUUGACGAGGGCUGAGCUGUCUCUCCUGGAAUAUUUAAAAAUUAACUUCUAAGUGAAAAGGCUUAGAUUUAACUGAGGGACGAGAAGACCCUGUUGAGCUUUAGUGUGGAAUAAAAGGUUUAUUUUUAUUAGAAUAGAGGAUUUUAAGUUUAUUCUUACAUCUUUAGUUGGGGUGACUAGGGAACAUGGAAAGCUUCUCUGUUAAUUUGUAGAAAUUUGGUUUACUAACGAGUGAUCCAGCAUUGCUGAUUAUCGGAAAAAGUUACCACAGGGAUAACAGCGUAAUCUUUCUGGAGAGUUCACAUUGAAAGAAGGGUUUGCGACCUCGAUGUUGGAUUAAGGUGUCCUGAGGGUGUAGCAGCUUUCGUUGGUUGGUCUGUUCGACCAUU
RNAcentral lists this ribosomal RNA (493 nucleotides) under Haliotis sorenseni (white abalone). RNAcentral describes it as "partial 16S ribosomal RNA". It matches the Rfam family "Bacterial large subunit ribosomal RNA", at positions 1850 to 2589 of the family's 2925-position model. Lineage: Eukaryota; Metazoa; Mollusca; Gastropoda; Lepetellida; Haliotidae. The record is from RNAcentral.